This is a long non-coding RNA of Medicago truncatula (barrel medic), 818 nucleotides long. RefSeq lists it as uncharacterized. The transcript is spliced from 5 exons. NCBI's taxonomy places the organism in Eukaryota, Viridiplantae, Streptophyta, Magnoliopsida, Fabales, Fabaceae. The record is from RefSeq and is a predicted model, not a curated record.
UUGUUCUACAAAUAUCAUUUAUCUUAAUCUUUAGCACAAGUGGUUCGAGAUUAGUACAUAACAGCAACAAUGUCGAAUCUCUCAUCAUCAUCCUAGUUGUAUUGAAGAGAAACGCCGUGAACGCAUCCGGAGUUUAUGGUCGGACGCCAGAAACAGUGGCAGGUUGAUUAUCAAGUAUGGAACACGGUUCAUACUCGGAUUUGAGUAAAUCAACGUUUUCUCUUAUGGAUCACACUUUUGCUAAUUCUGUCAGAUUCACCUUGAAUCAAGAUCCAAGAGUGACAUUUUGUGGUUACAGCAUUCCUCAUCCUUCAGAAAAUCGUGUUAAUGACAACUGGUAUGUGCUAACAUAUAAGCCGUCUCACGGUAGAUAUUAUGUGACUGUAAUUGACAACUGGGUUGGCCGGCAGCUGCUAUUGACUACUAUGCAAAUUACUUUUUAAUGAAAAUGUUAUAGGGCAAUAGUAGAGCUUCCUCGACAACAAGGGAUCCAGCAUCUGAGGUGUUAAAAGAUGGCUGUCAGGAUCUGAUGCUUAUGUGCCAGCAUGUUAGGAGCACUUUUGAGAAGGCAGUUAAUGAUUUUAAAACCAGCAAGACUGAGGAUGAUAUGGAUAUAUGAACUAGUGUAGCAAGUUAUAGUUUUGAUUUUGUACUGGUUAUGUUAUUUGAACAUUAAAAUAUAGACAUUAUGUUAGUCUUUUUUUCAUUAAAUACAUGUAAACUAGCGGUUGGUAUGCAUGGUGAAUUAGUUAGUGAAUGCAUUGUGAAAGUCUUCUUUUUCAAAUUCUAUGGUUUAUGAAAUCAGUCUCUUGUCCAAA